UACGUAGGGUGCGAGCGUUAAUCGGAAUUACUGGGCGUAAAGCGUGCGCAGGCGGUUUUGUAAGCCAGAUGUGAAAUCCCCGGGCUUAACCUGGGAAUGGCAUUUGGGACUGCAAGGCUUGAGUGCGGCAGAGGAGACUGGAAUUCCCGGUGUAGCAGUGAAAUGCGUAGAGAUGUGGAGGAACACCGAUGGCGAAGGCAGCCUCCUGGGCCAGCACUGACGCUCAUGCACGAAAGCGUGGGGAGCAAACAGG
This 253-nucleotide ribosomal RNA is filed under the name uncultured bacterium. RNAcentral describes it as "partial 16S ribosomal RNA". It matches the Rfam family "Bacterial small subunit ribosomal RNA", at positions 524 to 776 of the family's 1533-position model. The record is from RNAcentral.